UUGUCGAGAGUGCGAUAUUCAAGUUAUUAAAAAAUGUUUUUCGAUUCUUUCAAUUAUCAUCCCUUGCCUGAACCUUUCGAGUAAGAGAUUUUUCACAUUUUGUAGUUAUUUAUGCAAAUAAGAAAUUUAUUCGAAAAACUAAUGGCUUUAAAAUGAAAUUGCUCUGUGUAAAUGAUAACUAAUUUAAAUUGAUUUAAAGAUUUCGACUCUUCGAUAUUUCUGAAUGUAGUUUUUAAGCAAACAUUUUAGUGUUUUGCUGUAUCCUGUAAUCAUAUUGGUGUUGAAAUUAAAAGGGUGGAUUUGCAUGUGAGUUUAACUGCUCAGAGUUUAGGGUCUUGUACUAAGUAAAUACAUCUUAGGGAUUUUUACAUUUACCGUUACUUAAAAAAGGAAACAGAAUACGUUUCUUACUCUAUGAACCUAAUUUAAUAGAGUUGUUUUUCAUCUGUAGCCUUUUCAAUUCACUACACGGCAACAUCUGAUGGACGUGCGGGAUUCGUGCAUCCAAAAAAUUUGGAUCACUUCAAAUACCGAGGCAAUAAAAAAGGCCUAUUGGAGCAGGAUGAACCCGCAAAUAUUAAAUUUGGGACGUCCAUCUUCAAAAACCAGAUUAAUCCUGCAUAUAAACAAGCAAAAGAAAAGAUUCGGCCAUUUUACGAGAUUUGUCGCGAUCGCUUUAACAGUCAGCGAUUGGUUGAAGAUCAGGACGACCAUGAUUUGAAUGAUGACAUUAUGGGUCGUCCAACGAACAUCAGAAUGAAUGAAGGCUUCAGCAAGCACGAAGGAUACAUGGAAAAUCCGAACACCAUUGGAUAUAAUGUUGUGUGUGCUGAUAAUAAGAGAAAAACAUCAAAUAAAGCCAGAUCUUUUUUCAAAGCCGUAUGGAAGCCAGUCAAGAGAUCAGCACAGAAGUUAUGGAGAAGCGUGAAAAAUAGAGAAACUGAGUACAUUCAAUUUGAUUAGUGAUCUCUUUGUUUACAUCAUUGAGUCAAGUGUACAUCUACUUGAUUUAAUCCGUGUACGUCUCGG
RNA transcript from Centruroides sculpturatus (bark scorpion), 1029 nucleotides. RefSeq lists it as uncharacterized. The record is from RefSeq and is a predicted model, not a curated record. The transcript is spliced from 4 exons. Lineage: Eukaryota; Metazoa; Arthropoda; Arachnida; Scorpiones; Buthidae.